CAGAGUGGCCUGAUUGACUUCCUGGACUCAUAGUACAAGUAAACAAAGAAUUUGAUGACAAAGGUGGGUUUUUUUUAAGUUUGGAGUUACCCAAACCUCCUCAGAUGUCCUCAGAUGCUCCAUGCAGUUGCAGUGUGAUGUUGGAGGUGUGGAUGUGCCAUAGCCGGGCACACUUUCAAGUUCUCCAAGUUCCUGAAGUCCUGUCUGAAAAUCAACCUAUGCAUUGUGCUGCCUCAGGUGGGUGAAAGAAGGCAAGGGGCACAGCCAGAGGAACUAGGAACCAAGAACAGCCAGCCAGAGAAAGUUCUGUGAUCAAAGUCCAAGAAAAGGUUUUUUUUUCAUGAAAUUUGCCAUUAGAGAUAUUGAGGAGGCCUAUGUAUUAAAUUCCUGAGUUUUGAGGCACCGUAAUAGAGCUGUCAAACAAAGAUAUAGAAAGUGCCACUGUUUCCACGAGACAUGACAAGCUAAGGAUUCCCAACAAAGUAAGGCCACCUGAAGAGGGAUAAUGAAAGUGAUUACAUCAGCAAAGAGGAAGGAACAAUCCAGGUAAAGAGUUGGUGGAUGUUUGAUCUUGGAGGGUUGCUGUUACCUCCAGUGCAGUCAUCCAAAGCUGUCUAAAAAUUAAAUAGGCUAAAAGAACAAGAAUGCCUAGGAUUUCUUCCAGGAAUUUCUGUAGUUACCUACUAGGCAUCAAAGGAGACUUCUUUUGAACCUUCAAAUAUACAAGGAGGUCACAUGCAUUAGUGACUGCAGAUUUGGUAACCUAUUAUUCAUUAUUUUCUUUUAUUGAUUGUUUUACAGUCCCCAAGGCUUGUGUGUUGCUUUCUGUGCCACCAAAAAAAAAAAAUCUGUAAAAUCUUGAGGUUUUUUACAGGAGCGACAGCAGCUGUCUCUCCUUGUUAAUGACAAUAGCAGUGUAUAUUUUUUCCCUAAUAACUCUAAUUAGGAGGUCUCACAUGAAUAUUAAGUCAAUUUUUUAUAAUGAAUGAUGUCUUGUAACUGGAAAAAAAAUUAAAAAAAGACAGGUUGACCUAAGAUAAUUUCUUAUUUAAAGAUGACCUUUAAAAAUGUAAAGUUGCAACAAAUUAAUUACCUGGCUUAACCACUUUGUUAAUUUUUUUAAAAAAGAAAACAUGAUAACAUGCCAUAUUCGAGUUAUGCUGGCAUCUAGGACAAAGAGACAAGCCAAAACAAUGAUAAAAUUGUGGAAAAGUAAGGUAUCACCCACAGAUAUAACUAGCCACU
RNAcentral lists this long non-coding RNA (1245 nucleotides) under Cyanistes caeruleus (blue tit). Its description in RNAcentral is "lncRNA (ENSCCEG00000007656.1)". The record is from RNAcentral. Lineage: Eukaryota; Metazoa; Chordata; Aves; Passeriformes; Paridae.